GACGAACGCUGGCGGCGUGCUUAACACAUGCAAGUCGAGCGGUAAGGCCCCUUCGGGGGUACACGAGCGGCGAACGGGUGAGUAACACGUGGGUGACCUGCCCUCAGCUCUGGGAUAAGCCUGGGAAACUGGGUCUAAUACCGGAUAUGACUCCAUGACGCAUGUCGUGGGGUGGAAAGCCUUGUGCGGCUGGGGAUGGGCCCGCGGCCUAUCAGCUUGUUGGUGGGGUGAUGGCCUACCAAGGCGACGACGGGUAGCCGGCCUGAGAGGGCGACCGGCCACACUGGGACUGAGACACGGCCCAGACUCCUACGGGAGGCAGCAGUGGGGAAUCUUGCGCAAUGGGCGAAAGCCUGACGCAGCGACGCCGCGUGAGGGAUGACGGCCUGU
RNAcentral lists this ribosomal RNA (390 nucleotides) under uncultured bacterium. RNAcentral's name for it is "bacterial SSU rRNA". It matches the Rfam family "Bacterial small subunit ribosomal RNA", at positions 28 to 419 of the family's 1533-position model. The record is from RNAcentral.